ACUAAGCGUACACGGUGGAUGCCCUGGCAGUCAGAGGCGAUGAAGGACGUGCUAAUCUGCGAUAAGCGUCGGUAAGGUGAUAUGAACCGUUAUAACCGGCGAUUUCCGAAUGGGGAAACCCAGUGUGAUUCGUCACACUAUCAUUAACUGAAUCCAUAGGUUAAUGAGGCGAACCGGGGGAACUGAAACAUCUAAGUACCCCGAGGAAAAGAAAUCAACCGAGAUUCCCCCAGUAGCGGCGAGCGAACGGGGAGCAGCCCAGAGCCUGAAUCAGUGUGUGUGUUAGUGGAAGCGUCUGGAAAGGCGCGCGAUACAGGGUGACAGCCCCGUACACAAAAAUACACAUACUGUGAGCUCGAUGAGUAGGGCGGGACACGUGGUAUCCUGUCUGAAUAUGGGGGGACCAUCCUCCAAGGCUAAAUACUCCUGACUGACCGAUAGUGAACCAGUACCGUGAGGGAAAGGCGAAAAGAACCCCGGCGAGGGGAGUGAAAAAGAACCUGAAACCGUGUACGUACAAGCAGUGGGAGCACGCUUAGGCGUGUGACUGCGUACCUUUUGUAUAAUGGGUCAGCGACUUAUAUUCUGUAGCAAGGUUAACCGAAUAGGGGAGCCGAAGGGAAACCGAGUCUUAACUGGGCGUUAAGUUGCAGGGUAUAGACCCGAAACCCGGUGAUCUAGCCAUGGGCAGGUUGAAGGUUGGGUAACACUAACUGGAGGACCGAACCGACUAAUGUUGAAAAAUUAGCGGAUGACUUGUGGCUGGGGGUGAAAGGCCAAUCAAACCGGGAGAUAGCUGGUUCUCCCCGAAAGCUAUUUAGGUAGCGCCUCGUGAAUUCAUCUCCGGGGGUAGAGCACUGUUUCGGCAAGGGGGUCAUCCCGACUUACCAACCCGAUGCAAACUGCGAAUACCGGAGAAUGUUAUCACGGGAGACACACGGCGGGUGCUAACGUCCGUCGUGAAGAGGGAAACAACCCAGACCGCCAGCUAAGGUCCCAAAGUCAUGGUUAAGUGGGAAACGAUGUGGGAAGGCCCAGACAGCCAGGAUGUUGGCUUAGAAGCAGCCAUCAUUUAAAGAAAGCGUAAUAGCUCACUGGUCGAGUCGGCCUGCGCGGAAGAUGUAACGGGGCUAAACCAUGCACCGAAGCUGCGGCAGCGACACUAUGUGUUGUUGGGUAGGGGAGCGUUCUGUAAGCCUGUGAAGGUGUACUGUGAGGUAUGCUGGAGGUAUCAGAAGUGCGAAUGCUGACAUAAGUAACGAUAAAGCGGGUGAAAAGCCCGCUCGCCGGAAGACCAAGGGUUCCUGUCCAACGUUAAUCGGGGCAGGGUGAGUCGACCCCUAAGGCGAGGCCGAAAGGCGUAGUCGAUGGGAAACAGGUUAAUAUUCCUGUACUUGGUGUUACUGCGAAGGGGGGACGGAGAAGGCUAUGUUGGCCGGGCGACGGUUGUCCCGGUUUAAGCGUGUAGGCUGGUUUUCCAGGCAAAUCCGGAAAAUCAAGGCUGAGGCGUGAUGACGAGGCACUACGGUGCUGAAGCAACAAAUGCCCUGCUUCCAGGAAAAGCCUCUAAGCAUCAGGUAACAUCAAAUCGUACCCCAAACCGACACAGGUGGUCAGGUAGAGAAUACCAAGGCGCUUGAGAGAACUCGGGUGAAGGAACUAGGCAAAAUGGUGCCGUAACUUCGGGAGAAGGCACGCUGAUAUGUAGGUGAAGUCCCUCGCGGAUGGAGCUGAAAUCAGUCGAAGAUACCAGCUGGCUGCAACUGUUUAUUAAAAACACAGCACUGUGCAAACACGAAAGUGGACGUAUACGGUGUGACGCCUGCCCGGUGCCGGAAGGUUAAUUGAUGGGGUCAGCGCAAGCGAAGCUCUUGAUCGAAGCCCCGGUAAACGGCGGCCGUAACUAUAACGGUCCUAAGGUAGCGAAAUUCCUUGUCGGGUAAGUUCCGACCUGCACGAAUGGCGUAAUGAUGGCCAGGCUGUCUCCACCCGAGACUCAGUGAAAUUGAACUCGCUGUGAAGAUGCAGUGUACCCGCGGCAAGACGGAAAGACCCCGUGAACCUUUACUAUAGCUUGACACUGAACAUUGAGCCUUGAUGUGUAGGAUAGGUGGGAGGCUUGGAAGUGUGGACGCCAGUCUGCAUGGAGCCGACCUUGAAAUACCACCCUUUAAUGUUUGAUGUUCUAACGUUGACCCGUAAUCCGGGUUGCGGACAGUGUCUGGUGGGUAGUUUGACUGGGGCGGUCUCCUCCUAAAGAGUAACGGAGGAGCACGAAGGUUGGCUAAUCCUGGUCGGACAUCAGGAGGUUAGUGCAAUGGCAUAAGCCAGCUUGACUGCGAGCGUGACGGCGCGAGCAGGUGCGAAAGCAGGUCAUAGUGAUCCGGUGGUUCUGAAUGGAAGGGCCAUCGCUCAACGGAUAAAAGGUACUCCGGGGAUAACAGGCUGAUACCGCCCAAGAGUUCAUAUCGACGGCGGUGUUUGGCACCUCGAUGUCGGCUCAUCACAUCCUGGGGCUGAAGUAGGUCCCAAGGGUAUGGCUGUUCGCCAUUUAAAGUGGUACGCGAGCUGGGUUUAGAACGUCGUGAGACAGUUCGGUCCCUAUCUGCCGUGGGCGCUGGAGAACUGAGGGGGGCUGCUCCUAGUACGAGAGGACCGGAGUGGACGCAUCACUGGUGUUCGGGUUGUCAUGCCAAUGGCACUGCCCGGUAGCUAAAUGCGGAAGAGAUAAGUGCUGAAAGCAUCUAAGCACGAAACUUGCCCCGAGAUGAGUUCUCCCUGACUCCUUGAGAGUCCUGAAGGAACGUUGAAGACGACGACGUUGAUAGGCCGGGUGUGUAAGCGCAGCGAUGCGUUGAGCUAACCGGUACUAAUGAACCGUGAGGCUUAACC
Molecule: ribosomal RNA, 2892 nt
Filed under: Escherichia coli
Lineage: Bacteria; Pseudomonadati; Pseudomonadota; Gammaproteobacteria; Enterobacterales; Enterobacteriaceae
Description: bacterial LSU rRNA
Rfam family: Bacterial large subunit ribosomal RNA
Source: RNAcentral